CCUUAGAGCACACCAGAUAGU
This 21-nucleotide unclassified non-coding RNA is filed under the name Mus musculus (house mouse). RNAcentral describes it as "oocyte_clustered_small_RNA9647". The record is from RNAcentral. Lineage: Eukaryota; Metazoa; Chordata; Mammalia; Rodentia; Muridae.